RNAcentral lists this long non-coding RNA (2682 nucleotides) under Orbicella faveolata. Its description in RNAcentral is "uncharacterized LOC110062648, transcript variant X6". Lineage: Eukaryota; Metazoa; Cnidaria; Anthozoa; Scleractinia; Merulinidae. The record is from RNAcentral.
ACAACUCAUGAGGUGAUGUAUAAUAAUUUAACCGAUCGGUUUACAACAAUCCAUUUUUUUAAAAAAUAGUUACGCGUCGAUCCAGAAAACAAUAAUGACUUGUAUUUCUGUUCUGGGAGUUCUUAGCUCUGCCAAAAGAAUAAAUGUCUCGCUAUAUUGCAUAUUUAACUUCUUCAAAUUAAACAUCUGGUAAAUAAGCCUAACCUACCCCGCCCAUGCUCAGCGAUUGUGAGAGGUUGGUUCAGGCUAUUUGGAAUUUGCGUGAUAAAUCUCAAUUACCAAGAGAUACGUUAUGGGUUUAUUUAGUCUUUGUAGGAAAUACUGAUGUACAGAUGAGGACACAUUAAUCAUAAUCAAAGUUUUAAUUAAGCUGUUGAUAGUGUGAUAUGGAUAAAACUGUCUGAAAAUACACGAAAAUGCAGCAGCCACUACCCCAACACAAAAGACCAACGAUUAUCUUGGCUAAACAAAGUUUCGUUGCCUUUUUACUUUGUUGGGAACAUCUUGUGUGUCUUUGCGGUUACUUCGCGUUAUGUAAAUGAUGUAAAUGUUGCCCAAAUCGUGGCUUCAGUCAAGGGCUUCUUAAUUAACAUCUUCCUUUACAAAGUUGUCACGACGUUGCAUACGUGCUUGAAUGAAGCUCACAUGAUUUCUUCCAAAGUUUCAAACUUCCUCUCCGGAAAACGCAUCAAAGACUGAAAAAAAAAAACAACUUGAACGAAUGAUCCAGAACUGGAGAUCUGAUCCUUUCAAUAGCGCAUGGAUAGGGUGCAGUGGCGUCACUCAGACUUGGUUAAUAGCAAAAUCACUCAGACUUUCUGGCUGCAACCUAAGCACGUUGGUGCGUGCUUGAGUUCACAAACACCCAUUUAACUCCCAAGUAUUACCAGUGGCGCUUGUUUGGUGAGAAUCAAAUGUAGGAUCUAAUGCAAGACCGUUCUUGGAAAGACCACAAAAGAUUGCUGAAUUAAACCUACGCAUGCGUUGAAAAGGACUAUUGAAGACGUCGAACCUAUCGCUGAGAUACAGACGCGAUCAGAUUACCGAAGUGUGCCGGGAGCAGGGCGUUUUAAAAAUGUUGCUUUCCGUUUCCAAAGUCGUGGUAGGGAUUUUGCUGAUCGUCAUUGUCACGGCUAAACAAAAAAGCAGACAAUAUUGGCCAAGACCAACUUCAGAUUGUGAAGUGCGAAAAGGCUUCCUCCAGAUGCAAAGUGACGGGUGCAAGUUCAAAAUUUCAACUUCUGGUUGUAGCGGCAAAUGCUUGUCGUCGGCGAAACCUUUCAGCCAUAGAAUUGGAUUUGCUUCAAGUUGCUCGUGCUGUGCACCCAUCGAAGCUACUAUCAAAGAAAAAUCAGUGAACUGCCACGGAGUAAUAAAAGUGAUUCGCUACCCAGAAGCAAAGAAAUGCGCCUGCAGACCGUGUUUAAACGGCUGACAUUAUAUAUCCGUCGUGCGAAGUUUUGAAGUGAAGCAAAGAGUUUUCGUCUUGUAAAGAGAAUGGUGCUGACGUCGCGACUUGCGUGGAUUUAAAAACAUCAACCGAGUACUAGCUCAGUAAUAUUGGAGUGGGAUUAGAGAAGAAGCCGUUAAAAAAAAAUAUAUAUAUAUAUAUAUUUAGAGUUUGGAAAAGUUUCGAAGGGCUCUUGAAAAAGACGUGAAUAUCGCCGAGCAAUAAUUAGACUUAAGGUGGAAGUUAACUUAAGACAGUUUAUUGUUGCGUUACGUGGUUUGUAAUAUACCAGGCCGUCUAUUAAUUUUGUGGUUUUACUUUUGUACCCAACUGCAUGCAGGUAACAUUGGGUUUCUUCACAGUACAUGAUAACGUGUUAUCAGGGGCAGAUAACGUUGUAUGAUUGAAAUUUAUAUAUCAUGCAAAGAGCAGCUCAUUAUUGCGCAACAGCGUGCAAUCUUCUUGGAAGCCGGUUUCGCAGGGAAGCACGAUUAACUGAAAACAUGGUAAGAAAAAUCGUUACGGUCAAUUUUUAAUAUCAAAUAGGUUGAUGUCGUUAAGAAUAUUUGCGAGCUAUAGAGCUAUGCAUUGAUCUUGAGAUGUUUUUCAUUGCAAAAGGCAAUUAAAAUUAACAUGAAUUAGACCGAUGUUGCCUACGGCGUGUUGCGGUUCCAUGAGCAAUUUACGUUUAGUUAAUUUUGUUCUUUUUCGCAGACAUCAAAUGUCGUUUGUUGAAACAAAAAGGCAAAGCAUAAUAACAAACCCUAUGGUCAACGCUAGGUCACUUAGAGGUUAUAAAACAGCGAAACCAACGGCGUAUAAACUGUGUGCAUAAAGGGAGGUGAUUAUAUGUAAAAGGGAUUACCUGUGUAUAGAUUUAAACGGCUUUGGACACUUCUAAAUAUUGUAAAUCAAUUUCUCUUAUUAAGUCUAAGUAAUAAGAAACAUAACACUAGUGUAAAUAUUUUCCAUAGAACUGAUCCCAGUUCUUCAUGUACAGAGGCAGUCGGCUUAUAUGACGCUGCAAACUGAUAAAUAGUCCCGAAUGUAGGCGGAAGACUAAUUGUUCAUUCACAAUUUAUGAUGACUGAAACACAAUAUGAAUAAUGGAUUUAAAUAGCAACCUAAAGGUUGUAAGCAAGAUAACGUAUAUAUAAGACCUAAACAGUAUGAAGUAUCACGCAAGUUGAAAAGAACAAAAAAAAUAAAGCACGUAAUUUGUUUAAACUGUA